Molecule: ribosomal RNA, 1224 nt
Filed under: metagenome
Description: bacterial LSU rRNA
Rfam family: Bacterial large subunit ribosomal RNA
Source: RNAcentral
UAGGAACUCGGCAAAAUGCCCCCGUAACUUCGGGAGAAGGGGGGCCAUCCACUUAUACGGAUUUACUCCGGAAAGGGUGUGGUGGCCGCAGAGACCAGUGGGAAGCGACUGUUUACUAAAAACACAGGUCCGUGCGAACAAGCAAUUGGAUGUAUACGGACUGACGCCUCCCCGGUGCUGGAAGGUUAAGAGGAGUGGUCAACCCUUCGGGGUGAAGCUUUGAAUUUAAGCCCCAGUAAACGGCGGUGGUAACAAUAACCAUCCUAAGGUAGCGAAAUUCCUUGUCGGGUAAGUUCCGACCUGCACGAAUGGCGUAACGACUUCCCAGCUGUCUCCACCAUGAACUCGGCGAAAUUGCACUACGAGUAAAGAUGCUCGUUACGCGCAGAAGGACGGAAAGACCCCGUGACCUUUACUACAGCUUGGUAUUGGUGUUCGGUGUGGCUUGUGUAGGAUAGGUGGGAGACUGUGAAGCAGGGACGCUAGUUCUUGUGGAGUCAUUGUUGAAAUACCACUCUGGUCAUAUUGGAUAUCUAACUACGGACCCUGAUCGGGUUCUGGGACAGUGCCUGGUGGGUAGUUUAACUGGGGCGGUUGCCUCCUAAAGAGUAACGGAGGCGCCCAAAGGUUCCCUCAACCUGGUUGGCAAUUAGGUGGCGAGUGUAAGUGCACAAGGGAGCUUGACUGUGAGACUGACAGGUCGAGCAGGGACGAAAGUCGGGACUAGUGAUCCGGCAGUGGCUUGUGGAAGCGCUGUCGCUCAACGGAUAAAAGGUACCUCGGGGAUAACAGGCUGAUCUUGCCCAAGAGUCCAUAUCGACGGCAUGGUUUGGCACCUCGAUGUCGGCUCGUCGCAUCCUGGGGCUGGAGUAGGUCCCAAGGGUUGGGCUGUUCGCCCAUUAAAGCGGUACGCGAGCUGGGUUUAGAACGUCGUGAGACAGUUCGGUCCCUAUCCUCUGCGCGCGUUGGAAAUUUGAGAGGAUCUGACCCUAGUACGAGAGGACCGGGUUGGACGGACCUCUGGUGUGCCAGUUGUUCUGCCAAGGGCAUGGCUGGUUGGCUACGUUCGGGAUGGAUAACCGCUGAAAGCAUCUAAGCGGGAAGCCGGCCUCGAGAUGAGAUUUCCGUCACCCUUGUGGUGGUGAGGCUCCCAGGAGAUUACUGGGUUGAUAGGCCAGAUGUGGAAGCACUGUAAGGUGUGGAGCUGACUGGUACUAAUAAGCC